AUUGAACGCUGGCGGCAGGCCUAACACAUGCAAGUCGAGCGCGAAAGUUCUUCGGAAUGAGUAAAGCGGCGGACGGGUGAGUAAUACAUGGGAAUCUGCCUGGUAGUGGGGACAACGUUUCGAAAGGAACGCUAAUACCGCAUACGCCCUACGGGGGAAAGGGGGGGAUCGCAAGACCUCUCGCUAUCAGAUGAGCCCAU
This 200-nucleotide ribosomal RNA is filed under the name uncultured bacterium. Its description in RNAcentral is "partial 16S ribosomal RNA". It matches the Rfam family "Bacterial small subunit ribosomal RNA", at positions 30 to 234 of the family's 1533-position model. The record is from RNAcentral.